RNAcentral lists this long non-coding RNA (579 nucleotides) under Homo sapiens (human). RNAcentral describes it as "HSALNT0388224". The record is from RNAcentral. Lineage: Eukaryota; Metazoa; Chordata; Mammalia; Primates; Hominidae.
UAAUACCUUCCCUCCUAUAGCACCAUGCUAGGCACCAAAAACUGGGAGAUGAGCAGAGCGUAGGCCCCAUGCUGCUCCAAGGCUAGCAGCCAAGGGAGACAAGGACAAAAGCCAUCACAGUGUCUGGCCAAAGUGAGGACACAAAGACAGGAGUGCUCAGACUGCAUCAGAGGGGACAAGGAAAAGACAUCAUGAAGCUGGAGAACCCUGAAUGGAGACUUGGAAGACAAGUUGGAGGUCUCCAGAGUGGAAGGGCUUGCAGGCAGUAAAUUGCCACUUGCAAGAGCCUCGGGUGCCAAUGCAGUUCCUGGAAAUGAGGGAUAAGAUUGAGCACAGAAGACUCAAAAAUAACCGGGCGCUCCUCAGAGGGAUCUGUGUCUUGGCAAGGAGGAAAAUCACCCCAAUGCUGCCUGUGAUUCCAGACCCAGGGCUAGUCAGUGGGACCCAAGACCAUGAACUCUGCUCACACUGCAGAAGAUGCGGAGCAAGGGGCCUGGGUUUCUAGUCACCAUGCUAUCCAAGAGCUGCUCUGUAGACGUUUCAGGCCAUUAGUACAAAAAUAAAUAAAUAAUGCAGGAG